AAAUAAUUUUUAUUUUUUAUUUUUAAAUUUUUUCAAUACAUUUAGAACUACUUCUUAUCAGAUCUGUUACCGCAGGUAUUUAAAACAAGCACACCCAGCGUUGGAUGUCAGCAUAAUUUACGUGUUUUCACAAAGCACGCAAUAGAUUUAGUUAUUAUCUGAUAGGAUUUGCAAAAUGUAAAUGGUUCUGUUUCACAGAAACUGCACUGUUUUUGUUUCCAGCUGUAGGGGAAUUAAUGAAGUGAUUUUGAUGUUUAGAGUUUCCCUUUAACCUCAGUUUUACAAUCCAGGUUAUUAAUUAUGUGAAACGUAUGGCUUCAUUCACCGAACAGCAAACUGAAAACUGAAUUGUAAUAUUUAAGCAAAAUAGCCACUCUGUGAUGGUACCUAAGAAGGAUCAUUUUUUCAAAUCAGCAUAUUUUUCCCGCAUUUUGUAAUUCAGUUUUAAAUCUACUACAAAUGCUAGCUACAUCAUAAUUUGUUGUGAUGGUGCCGGGAUGUCCCUGGCACUGGCUUACCUUAGGGGAUAGUCAUUACCGAACGGUUUAACCCCAAAGAGCUGAAUACAGUAGAACCCCAUUCACAAAAUGGCUUGAGGAUCAUACAUAUAUUUCUCAAACUGUUUUGUGAAUUGGGAGGCACUGACCGGCUUUGCUUAGUCCGAGGCUGCGCAAGGCUUACUGUUUCAAGAAACAGAGAAAAGCGAAAAAAUAUAGAAAUAUAGAAUGUGACGGCAGAUAAGAACCAUUCGGCCCAUCUAGUCUGCCCAAUUUUCUAAAUACUUUCAUUAGUCCCUGGUCUUAUCUUAUAGCUAGGAUAGCCUAAUGCCUAUCCCACCCAUGCUUAAACUCCUUUACUGUGUUAACCUCUACCACUUCAGCUGGAAGGCUAUUCCAUGCAUCCACUACCCUCUCAGUAAAGUAAGCUAAACUCGCGCUGGAAUUAGCUCUUUGGGGUUUAAACAUUCGUUAACGGUUUAAACCUUUUAAGGUAAGCCAGUGCCAGGGCCUCCUGGCACUAUAACAACUUCAUUCCAAUAGUGACUGUGUGUUCUUUUAACACUGAAAGAAAGAAAAAAAAAACACAAAAAGAAAUAAAAAAAGUAUCAACUCUAAACAAGAUAACAUUUGCGGCAAUUACCAUUUGAAGAUAUGGAUAUGCUUUUAUAUCACAAAACCCAUUGUAAAUAUCUGUGGGAUAUGUAAGUAUUUUAAAUAAAGUGUUUGCAUCUCAUUCAGCAACAAUGUACAUUAUUACAUCCCAUCUUGACUCCAUCAGUAAAAGCACUCUAUAGCAAUGCUAUAAACUUAUUCUAUAUUUUACAUUAAGUUGUUUUGGUGCCUGGAGUGUCCCUUUAAGAAGAAGGGUAAAAUACGCAGUCAAUUAGAUACCUGCUUCUUGUCGAUUUUCUUGUUCUAUAUAGACAUGAUGUAUGGCCUACUUUCAUUAUGUUUUUUCAUAGCACAUACAGUAUGUAACAAUAGCUGCCUCUAGCUAGGUAUAGGUUAAAAAGUUGUUCUUUAUUAUUGCAAGGGAAGAUGAAUAUGUCUUAUCCAAUACAGAGUCUGGGUCUGAUUUUUUUUUUAGAUUUAAUUUCACCUAAUCAAUAUUCUCAGGAUUGCCUGCCCAAAGGGGAAUUCUUUCCAACGUGGAAAACGGUCUUUGUUUUAAUUGAAUUAUUGGCGUUGGCGAGUGUGAAUUUUUAUUCUGCCGCUGCGCUGGCUUGCUGCCUGCAGGAAUGGUUAUCAAUGUAGUAAUAGGACAGGGGUUAGAAAACGUG
Pelobates cultripes (western spadefoot toad) is the source of this 1780-nucleotide non-coding RNA. The record is from the annotation of a GenBank genome assembly. NCBI's taxonomy places the organism in Eukaryota, Metazoa, Chordata, Amphibia, Anura, Pelobatidae.